Molecule: non-coding RNA, 1648 nt
Organism: Phoenix dactylifera (date palm)
Lineage: Eukaryota; Viridiplantae; Streptophyta; Magnoliopsida; Arecales; Arecaceae
Source: RefSeq, a predicted model, not a curated record
AGCCUGCAAUCUGAGCUGAGGAUAGGUUUUGGGAGUUAGCUGACCCUCGUGGGAUCGGCCCACCAAUUUUGAAUUGUCGAUGAUAGAGUAGAAGCCCCAAAAGGAGAAUUAUGAAUUUAUUUGAUAGGGGAUUGUAACAUUUCACCCGGAGAUGGAAAAUUCGCUAUUAUUCGUUCAUGAAUCAUGAGAGCAAACCUGUGAUGAGGAGAUGAGCUACUGGGAAAAUUUUUUGCAUGCUCAGAAUGUCCAUUAAGAUGCAGCAUCAAAAGCUGGAUUCUCCAUUACGAGAUAUGUGGGCCUUAAAUUCACGUUUGCAUUAAGUUUUUUGACCGAAUGAUGGAUUCCAUGUAAACUGCCUUUUACAUAAAGAAGCAAUGAUUCUCAAGUUCAACAUUCAAAGAAACACUUCUAUUAGCAGAAAAGGUGAUGCGCAUUGUUUCAUUUUUCCAAAAAUUCAGAUAAAUACAAAAAUAGAGAUGUGAAUGCACACAGUUCAGGGGUGCCCAAAAAUUCAUUUUUUUAUGUAAGUGGAGGAAGGAAGACCUUUCCCCAGAUGUUAUUAAGAGAUGGAAAAGAAUAUCAGGUACAAGUACAGAGGAUGAAUAGAGGAUGAUGUAGAAGACAGAUGAUCUUAAUGACUGAGUAGAGUGUCAAUCUUCCUCUCUAAGAUUUUGUCCUAUUUUUCCCUUCUCGGUUGAUUGGGGAUUUCUUCUUCAGGAACACCCUACAGUUUCUUUCCAACCAAAUUUGCCAACAAAAUACAAGCACCAUUUGAUCCUAUACUCUAUGAAAAUAAUGGAUCCUCUCGCAUCUCCAGGUUGUUUACAAUGUCUGUAAGGAAGUUGGCUAACCUCUCCAGGCAAUGCACUUUUUGACAGCUAACCAAACACCUUUGGAAUAGGAGCAAUGAAUAAGAAGAAUUCAUACUCAAGUUGUUUGAAGAGCCAACUGACUAAGUGAUGGAUUGGGAUGUAGUUUCCUUGCCAUAACGCCUAUUUCUGGUAAUGGUGCGUGUGUUGUUUAAGCACAUAAGCACAUGCUCUGCAUUUUGUUAUACAACUUCAUUCUAUGCAAUAUGCAUUGAUUUAGUUGCAUCCUUACAGCGAGUUAGAAAUUUCUCGAUCUCAUGACACUUCAAAUUUCUCAGGUCACCCAUAGCUGAGAGACUUUGGAGAACGUUGCACCAAGUUACUUCGUUGCUUCUGGUAGGUUGUUGCAAAGGAGCUCCUUUCAGAGACGCCAUGUACUUCAGUCUGUGGAGACUUUUCUUCAACACUAAACAGGAACGCGACGAGCCUUCGAUUGCUUAGAAUGGCGUCAGCUGAGGCAUACAGGCAAGCCCCAUUUAAAGGCCUAGGAUACAGCCUGCAUGGUUUCAAACCAGAACGAGCUUUCGAGAGUUUUAAACUACCUCCUAUGGGACGGGUGGCAUGCUCUGUUGACAUGGAAGGGAAGCCAUCUUAUGCACCAGUAACUGAUAAUGAUCUUCUGUCUUCUGAUAUGCUGUUGGGAUGGAUUAAUUAUGCCAUAAGCUUUUUAUUGAUGAAAAAUACAAUCGCUGCAAAAGACAAAGUGAGAAGAGUCAAAUUCUGAUUUGUUGUCAUUAUGGUCACAGAACAUGAUAUAAGAAAUUAUUGGAGUUUAUCAA